RNAcentral lists this long non-coding RNA (1068 nucleotides) under Gouania willdenowi (blunt-snouted clingfish). RNAcentral describes it as "lncRNA (ENSGWIG00000011136.1)". Lineage: Eukaryota; Metazoa; Chordata; Actinopteri; Blenniiformes; Gobiesocidae. The record is from RNAcentral.
UGGUGCGGUGCGCACGAGAGGAGGAGCUACGCAAGUUUACAGCUCUGCUUGAGGAAAAGUGAGAAUCACUCUUUCAUUUCUGCUUCAUGACUCUGCAGGUUGACUGCAUUUAGUCAUAGAAACUAAGAAACACUCAUUGUCGCUGUUGUCAACUGUGUGGACAUUAGGAUGCAGUUGGAGCACCGCCUUGAAUCCAUAGAACACCAGAAGGCACUGCAGGUAGCCUCUGAUCACAACCUGAAGAAGGAUUGGGAAGAGCGUCUCCACAAAGUCCAGCAAAGCGAGGAAUGUGCUCACAGAGAGCUGCAUAACCUGAGAUGUAAACUCCAGCAGCAGAGCUCACAGGUUGAGGAGCUUGAGAGGCAAAAAGCAGAAUUUUUUGACCUACAGCAGGUAAAUUCAGAACAUUCAGGAAAUCAAGUGAGUUUGUGAACAUUGGAGUAAAUAUAAAUGUUUGUUUGGCAUGCUAGCAAAAUCAGGAGCUUGGAGUACAGAUUGAAAGGCUGUCCCACUCUGAAAAUGAGUUGAAGGAGACAAAGCAGGAUCUUCAACAAGUGUUGGGGACAAUGAAGGAGGAGCUCAGAGCAGCCCAGGCCCAGGCAGAGAAGAGCCAAGAAGAAGCUAAGCAGUAUGUCUGCACUACAUGCUGUCGCCAUCACAUCAUUGAAUAUUAGUUUUUUUUUCUCUCACUAACUUCCACUUGGACUAUGCUGCGUCCUCAGGUUUCUGGAGAAGCGUCAGGUGGAAUGGUUCCUGGAGGAACAUAAGCUGCAGCAGCGAGAAGCGGAGCUGCAGCACAAAUACCAUGACGUGAAAGAGAAACUGCAGAAGGCAGAACUGGCUCAGAAGAAGGUAGAGCUGACAGCUCACACAGUACAGACCCUUUUCAAAAAAUUAGAAUAUUAGGGAAAAGUUGUUUAAUUCCUUUCAAAAAGUUAGACUUUCAUAGAUUAUAAAUUCAUGGCCCACAAUUUAAAUGAUUUCAAGUAUUCAUUUGUUUAUUUUUACAUAAUUUGGGCUUCCAGCUCAACAAAUAAAAACAACUUUUCCAUGAUAUUCUAAUUUUUU